GAUUUCUGGUUUGGUAUGCCUGACCCGUUAUGGUUACAUAAUUGUGUGUCGGUGCGUGCCUGCCAUCCUUCUAGAAUAUUUUCUCGCAUUCUUCAUUGGAUGUCGGGAUUGUCGUUCUAGAUCUUUUACUUUGAAAAAAUUAGAGUGUUUAAAGCAGGCUUUUGCUAUGAAUACAUUAGCAUGGAAUAAUAAUCUAGGACUUCGGUUCUAUUUUGUUGGUUUCUAUAACUGAAGUAAUGAUUGAUAGGGAUAGUUGGGGGUGCUAGUAUUGGCCGGCCAGAGGUGAAAUUCUUGGAUUCGGUCAAGACUAACUUAUGCGAAAGCAUU
This 327-nucleotide ribosomal RNA is filed under the name Rhogostoma sp. RNAcentral's name for it is "SSU rRNA". The stretch from base 117 to 327 matches the Rfam family "Eukaryotic small subunit ribosomal RNA", at positions 743 to 955 of the family's 1831-position model. The record is from RNAcentral. Lineage: Eukaryota; Cercozoa; Thecofilosea; Cryomonadida; Rhogostomidae.